GUAGGUGAACCUGCGGAAGGAUCAUUACCACAUUUUUGUGUUUUGGGUGCAUUCACGUGCAUCCAGACACAAAAAAACUAUCUAUACAAAAACUAUACCAAUCAUGUGUGAGGCAAAAGAAAUUGAUCUUGGUGGCUUUUGAACUCUUGAGGGAAAAAGCCGCCCAAUUUUUGUAACAAACACUCUUUAUUCUAAACGAACACUAAACCAAAUCUUUUUCAGUCUUUUUCUUUAGUGUAAAAAGGCCAAAAAACCAAAUGAGAUAAAACUUUUAACGGUGGAUCUCUUGGCUCGU
Molecule: unclassified non-coding RNA, 295 nt
Filed under: rhizosphere metagenome
Description: partial ribosomal RNA internal transcribed spacer region
Source: RNAcentral